Apus apus (common swift) is the source of this 1460-nucleotide long non-coding RNA. RefSeq lists it as uncharacterized. NCBI's taxonomy places the organism in Eukaryota, Metazoa, Chordata, Aves, Apodiformes, Apodidae. The record is from RefSeq and is a predicted model, not a curated record. The transcript has 3 exons.
CAGAAAUGGCAAGUGAAGACAAAUAUAGUGCAGGCUGCCUGCAGGGAGAGUGCACGGGGGAACUUCAGAUGCUAUUUUUGGUGUUUUGUGUCUGCCACUGACAGUAUUUCUAAUAUUUGUUUUUCCUUAAAAACCAUGUUUGGAGUUGGGAAUUUUAUUUUUUUAUUAUUAUUGUUGUUGUUGUUAAAAAAGAUCCCUUCCCUGGAGAAAGGGAUGGGUGCCUUGUCUGAGCCCAGCUCUGCAGAACUAGUGGGUGCCAGGACCCUGGUCGGCACAGUGGGAGGGUGAAGGCACAUGGAGGAUGUUGCCUUCUCCACUGGGAGCAGAGUUCGGUACAUCUCACUCCCAGGCGCUGCACAGAGGCCAAUGUGAGCCAAACCCUGAUUUAAUUCCAAUCCGUGGGAACCUCAUGGGGGGUACAGGAAAGUUCAGUGUGCUUGCUAAUGACAAAAGGAAACUCUCCCACGCUACCGAGCCCGUGCUGCACCAUGGGGGCCGGCAGCCCCAGCCCUGCAGCAAGCUCCAGUGCUCAGCACCAGUGCACUGAGCUUUGCUGGAUCCCAGCCAGCACCAGGACACUCCCAAAACCCAGGGGACCCAAGUGGGUCCUGCAGGAAAAUCACUCACCCUGGAGGGGAGCAGCUCCAGGCUGCAAAAUCAUAAAAUCCAGGCACAGGUGAGAGCCUGUACAUGCUGGAGCCCAGCGGUGGGGAGACAUUGAGGUGCUGGAGCGUGUCCAGAGAAGGGCGACCAAGCUGGCGAAGGGCCUCAAGAACAAGUCUUAUGAGGAGCAGCUGAGGGAACUGGGGCUGUUCAGUCUGAAGAAAAGGAGGCUGUGGGGAGACCUCAUCACCCUCUGCAACUACCUGGAAGGACCUUGUAAAGAGGUCCAGCCACACUCCCCAAGGUGCUGUGUCCACAACCUGCCCUGUCCCACUGAGCAUCUCCAGAAGAAGAGCUUGGUGCUAUGCUGGGCACAUGCCCUCUGCUUGGCAUGUCCCAGCUGGGAAGGUUUCAGCUGGUCUUGCAGAUGUACCAGGGAGGAGCUCUGCAGCGUUUGGGACCAGUCCAAGGGGCGAGGACUCGCAAGCGCCCACUUGCAGCAGCAGGGCUGCUCACUUUGUCCAGGACCCGGCACCAGCCUGAGCUUCGUUCAGCCUCCCCUCCCCUGCCACCCUUUCAUCUGCCAUUAAAAUCAAAAGAGGCCACAGGGAGCCACAGCGAAGCCAAACCAGAUGCCACUCAGAGCCUGUACCAAGGAGAUGUCAUUCAGAGCUGUAGCAGGGUGCUGAGCAAUGGGGAGCAGAGGGGACAGUCUUCAGGUCCAUGUCCCUGCCUGUCAAGUGGCUUCAGGAUCUGUCCCAUGAGCUACCCACACACAGACGAGUCCCUGCCCAGUGUCCUGUGUCCUGGCAGGACUGCAGGCAGUCCUGGCACAGGCAUUUUCAGCCGGGUUUGAG